RNAcentral lists this ribosomal RNA (464 nucleotides) under uncultured Glomus. Its description in RNAcentral is "SSU rRNA". It matches the Rfam family "Eukaryotic small subunit ribosomal RNA", at positions 569 to 1041 of the family's 1831-position model. Lineage: Eukaryota; Fungi; Glomeromycota; Glomeromycetes; Glomerales; Glomeraceae. The record is from RNAcentral.
AGCAGCCGCGGUAAUUCCAGCUCCAAUAGCGUAUAUUAAAGUUGUUGCAGUUAAAAAGCUCGUAGUUGAAUUUCGGGGUUAGUAGGUUGGUCAUGCCUCUGGUAUGUACUGAUCUCACUGAUUCCUCCUUCCUGAUGAACCGUAAUGCCAUUAAUUUGGUGUUGCGGGGAAACUGGACUGUUACUUUGAAAAAAUUGAGUGUUUAAAGCAAGCUAACGCUUGAAUACAUUAGCGUGGAAUAAUGAAAUAGGACGUUCGAUCCUAUUUUGUUGGUUUCUAGGAUUGACGUAAUGAUUAAUAGGGAUAGUUGGGGGCAUUAGUAUUCAAUUGUCAGAGGUGAAAUUCUUGGAUUUAUUGAAGACUAACUACUGCGAAAGCAUUUGCCAAGGAUGUUUCAUUAAUCAAGAACGAAGUUAGGGAUCGAAGACGAUCAGAUACCGUCGUAGUCUUAACCAUAAACUAUG